RNAcentral lists this ribosomal RNA (2053 nucleotides) under metagenome. RNAcentral's name for it is "bacterial LSU rRNA". It matches the Rfam family "Bacterial large subunit ribosomal RNA", at positions 3 to 2067 of the family's 2925-position model. The record is from RNAcentral.
UCAAGUUACUAAGGGCGUGUGGGGGAUGUCUUGGCGCCAGAAGGCGAUGAAGGGCGUGGAAGGCUGCGAAAAGCCCGGGGAAGCUGUCAAACAAGCGUUGAUCCCGGGGUACCCGAAUGUCAUACGCGGAAUCCAUAUGCGUAUGAGGCAAACGCGGUGAACUGAAACAUCUUAGUAACCGCAGGAAAAGAAAACAAAAGUGACUUCCUUAGUAGCGGCGAGCGAACGGGAAUCAGCCUAAACCGCAUGGCUUCGGCCAUGCGGGGUCGUGGGGCUCAUCACAGUGAAGUUACAAAAUCGUCCGCUAGAAGAAUCUGCAGGAAAGCAGAACCAAAGAGGGUGACAGUCCCGUAUUCGAAAGCGGUGCGAUCUUCCGAUGAGUACCCGAGUAGGUCCGGUCACGUGAAAACCGGAUUGAAUCUGGGAGGCCCAUCUCCUAAGGCUAAGUACUUGCUGGCGACCGAUAGUGAAUCAAGUAGCGCGAGCGAACGAUGAAAAGAACCCCUGCUAGGGGAGUCAAAAGAACCUGAAACCACACGCUUACAAGCGGUCGGAGCUCUGCGUCCUUCGGGACCGAGUGACGGCGUGCCUUUUGCAUAAUGACCCGGCGAGUUACCGUCAUUGGCUCGGUUAAGGCCUUCAGGGCCGGAGCCAAAGGGAAACCAAGUCUGAAUAGGGCGACAAUUGGUCAAUGGCGGUAGACGCGAAACCUUAGUGAUCUACGCAUGGGCAGGUUGAAGCGCGGGUAAGACUGCGUGGAGGACCGAACCCGUCUGGAUUGAAAACCGGUGGGAUGACCUGUGCGGAGGAGUAAAAGUCUAAUCAAACUGGGAGAUAGCUCGUUCUCUUCGAAAUAGCUUUAGGGCUAGCCUUGAGCCACUACGUAAUGGGGGUAGAGCGACUGAUCUCGAUAGAGGUCCUACCCGGAUGCUCUGCGUAACCAAACUCCGAAUACCAUUACGACUAUCUCAGGAGUCAGUCCGCGAGGGAUAAGCUUCGCGGUCGAGAGGGAAACAACCCAGAUCGCCUGUUAAGGUCCCAAAGAUCCGCUCAGUCACAAAGGAUAUUAGAAUACUGAGACAGCCAGGAUGUUGGCUUAGAAGCAGCCAUCAUUUAAAAAGUGCGUAAUAGCUUACUGGUCGAGUAUUUUAGUACCGAUAAUGAACGGGAGUAAGCGGAUCACCGAAGCAGCGGGCUUGCCUUCGGGCAAGCGGUAGAAGAGCGUUCUGGACCAGAUACAAGUCAUACCGAAAGGAUUGAUGGUGGGGUCCAGAAGUGAUUAUGCCGGGACGAGUAACGAUAAAACAGGUGAGAAUCCUGUUCGCCGAAAGCCUAAGGUUUCCUGGGGAAGGUAAAUCCGCCCAGGGUUAGCCGGUACCUUAGUCGAGGCCGAGAGGCGUAGACGAUGGAGGGCAGGUUAAUAUUCCUGCGCCACUUGUGUGAACCGAUGGGGGAACGUUGUUUCGAGGGUGAGCCGGGCGACUAGAAGUGCCCGCAGGGGUAUUUGAGGAUGUGGUAGGAAAAUCCGCCACAACAAUCCAAGGGUAUCUCUCGAGUGCAUUGAUCAUGAAGUCACCUGAAGAACAACCAAGAAAAGCCUCUAAGGGUUAAAGCACAAGUGACCGUACUAAAACUGACACAGGUAGGCGAGGCGAGAAGCCUCAGGCGCUCGGGAGAACGCUGGUUAAGGAACUCUGCAAAUUGACCCCGUAAGUUCGCGAUAAGGGGUGCCUCCUGGGGUUAACGCUUUGGGAGGCCACAGAAAAUCGGCACUAGCGACUGUUUACUAAAAACACAGGACUCUGCGAACUCGUAAGAGGAUGUAUAGAGUCUGACGCCUGCUCGGUGUCGGUAAGUUAAGGAAGAGGGUUAGGGUCCUCGGACUCGAAGCCCGCGACCGAAGCUCCGAUAAACGGCGGCCGUAACUAUGACGGUCCUAAGGUAGCGAAAUUCCUUGUCGGGUAAGUUCCGACCUGCAUGAAUGGCGUAACGACUGGUGCACUGUCUCCACGAGGGACCCGGUGAAACUGUAGCCGUGGUGAAGAUGCCACGU